Molecule: ribosomal RNA, 402 nt
Filed under: uncultured bacterium
Lineage: Bacteria
Description: bacterial SSU rRNA
Rfam family: Bacterial small subunit ribosomal RNA
Source: RNAcentral
UGGGGAAUAUUGCACAAUGGGCGGAAGCCUGAUGCAGCGAUGCCGCGUGGAGGAAGAAGGUUUUCGGAUUGUAAACUCCUUUUAUCAGGGACGAUAAUGACGGUACCUGAAGAAAAAGCUCCGGCUAACUACGUGCCAGCAGCCGCGGUAAUACGUAGGGAGCGAGCGUUGUCCGGAAUUACUGGGUGUAAAGGGAGCGUAGGCGGUGGUUUAAGUCUGAUGUGAAAGCCCGGGGCUCAACUCCGGUAUUGCAUUGGAAACUGGAUCACUAGAGUGUCGGAGGGGUAAGUGGAAUUCCUAGUGUAGCGGUGAAAUGCGUAGAUAUUAGGAGGAACACCGGUGGCGAAGGCGGCUUACUGGACGAUUACUGACGCUGAGGCUCGAAAGCGUGGGGAGCAAACA